RNAcentral lists this ribosomal RNA (248 nucleotides) under uncultured bacterium. RNAcentral's name for it is "partial 16S ribosomal RNA". It matches the Rfam family "Bacterial small subunit ribosomal RNA", at positions 523 to 769 of the family's 1533-position model. The record is from RNAcentral.
AGACAGAGGGUGCAAGCGUUGUCCGGAUUGACUGGGUGUAAAGGGCGUGUAGGCGGCCGAGUAAGUCUGACGUGAAAACAUCACCGCUCAACGGGAUGUACGCGUUGGAAACUGUUCGGCUUGAGUACAGGAGAGGUUAACGGAAUUCCAGGUGUAGCGGCGGAAUGUGUAGAUAUCUGGAGGAACACCGGUGGCGAAAGCGGUUAACUGGCCUGUGACUGACGCUGAGGCGCGAAAGCCAGGGGAGC